Molecule: long non-coding RNA, 1057 nt
Filed under: Trifolium pratense (red clover)
Lineage: Eukaryota; Viridiplantae; Streptophyta; Magnoliopsida; Fabales; Fabaceae
Description: long non-coding RNA (TPRA_LNC001576)
Source: RNAcentral
AAUGAUGCCACAUAAAAAUAAGACUAUGAGAGAGAAACUUCUAAACAUAUAAAUAAUAGAUUCUAUUGCAAUCGGAUUUGUCAGUGUCCCUAUGAUAGAGUCAUCUCAUUGUUACUUUAUGUCAUAUACUAAAUAGUAGAAUGGGACACAUAGAAAGAGAAGAAAAAAAAAUUGUUAGAUAAGGAAUCUAUAAACCACCACACCAUUUUUUUUUCUAUCUCUCUCCUCAAUAAUCAUGCAACCAACCCUCAUCUCUCACUCUUCAACAAUGAUUAAAUUUUUUUGUCACAUUCAAAGAACUAUUUCUACUUACCAAACUCAUCACUGUAAAUCUUCAACCCAUCUUCAAUCCUCUUCUUUCUUUCUCUAUUCCUGUGACCUUUAGCACUGAUCAAAGACAAACAUAUAUAAUUUUUUUCAAGUUCUUCUCUCACCCCCUUCAAAAAAACACCAAAUUAUUUUUAGAAUGAAAAAUUAUUUUUCAAGUUUACAACACCAAUUUCUCUGCGAGAUCUCGUCUAAUGCGAGUCACUUAUUGAAAAACCAUCACCAUAGAAAGACACCUCUUCAUCUCCUCAACGAAACCCACAAAAAAAUUCAUGAUCGGAGAACUUUCACCAACAACCAUUGUGUUGGAAAUCUUCACCACCGUGCCGGAAAACGUGAUGCUACUGUUUACGUUAUCACAACACAUUCCAAUUCAUUUUCCCAUAUAAUUGUGGAUCUUAUUAUUUUGCUAUGUAAAUGUUAUUUCAUACAUGGUUUGAGUAACACUACAAGAAAAAAGGUAUAUCACGACAGGCAAACUGCAUCGGUUGCAUUCUAGCCGUCGUCGCUUUUCCCUUUUGUGGCAGUUACUGUAGCAGUUCCUUUCCCGCCGUCGCAUUUUUCCCCCUUUUACAUCUUAUCUCUUUAAUCUACCCAAACCCAAACACUUCAUUAACCCAAAUCCCUAAUCGAUUUCAGUUUUCCUUCUCGUCUCAGAUCUUACUCUUCGAACCCAAAUCGAUUUCAGUUCGUCAAACCCAAAUCACUUCAUGCCUCAGAUCUUCGANNN